This 484-nucleotide ribosomal RNA is filed under the name uncultured bacterium. RNAcentral describes it as "partial 16S ribosomal RNA". It matches the Rfam family "Bacterial small subunit ribosomal RNA", at positions 30 to 507 of the family's 1533-position model. The record is from RNAcentral.
AUUGAACGCUGGCGGAAUGCUUUACACAUGCAAGUCGAGCGGCAGCGCGGCCUUCGGGCUGGCGGCGAGCGGCGAACGGGUGAGUAAUGCAUCGGAACAUGCCCAGUCGUGGGGGAUAACACUUCGAAAGAAGUGCUAAUACCGCUUACGUCCUGAGGGGGAAAGCGGGGGAUCGCAAGACCUCGCGCGAUUGGAGUGGCCGAUGUCAGAUUAGCUAGUUGGUGGGGUAAAGGCCUACCAAGGCGACGAUCUGUAGCUGGUCUGAGAGGAUGAUCAGCCACACUGGGACUGAGACACGGCCCAGACUCCUACGGGAGGCAGCAGUGGGGAAUUUUGGACAAUGGGGGCAACCCUGAUCCAGCCAUUCCGCGUGAGUGAAGAAGGCCUUCGGGUUGUAAAGCUCUUUCGGCAGGAACGAAACGGUGGGCUCUAACAUAGUCCGCUAAUGACGGUACCUGAAGAAGAAGCACCGGCUAACUACGUG